UCGGAUUAGUUUGUUGGUGAGGUAAAAGCUUACCAAGACCGUGAUCCGUAGCGGGUCUGAGAGGAAGGUCCCCCACACUGGCACUGAGACACGGGCCAGACUCCUACGGGAGGCAGCAGUGAGGAAUAUUGGUCAAUGGGCGUAAGCCUGAACCAGCCAAGUAGCGUGCAGGAUGACGGCCCUACGGAUUGUAAACUGCUUUUGCGGGAGGAUAACCGGCGCCACGUGUGGCGCCCUGCAGGUAUCCCGUGAAUAAGGACCGGCUAAUUCCGUGCCAGCAGCCGCGGUAAUACGGAAGGUCCGGGCGUUAUCCGGAUUUAUUGGGUUUAAAGGGAGCGCAGGCGGAGGCGCAAGCGUGCCGUUAAAUUGCGGGGCUCAACCCCGUUUUGCGGCGCGAACUGCGUCCCUUGGUUGCGGGAGGGGAAGGCGGAACUCGUGGUGUAGCGGUGAAAUGCUUAGAUAUGUCACAGAACGCCGAUCGUGAAGACAGGUCACGAAUCUGCAACUGACGCUCAUGCACGAAAGCGUGGGGAUCAAACAGGAUUAGAUACCCUGGUAGUCCACGCUGUAAACGAUGAUCACUCGUUGUUGGCCGGCGACGGUCAGUGGCUAAGCGAAAGCGAUAAGUGAUCCACCUGGGGAGUACGAUCGCAAGGUUGAAACUCAAAGGAAUUGACGGGGGCCCGCACAAGCGGAGGAACAUGUGGUUUAAUUCGAUGAUACGCGAGGAACCUUACCCGGGCUUGAAAUGUGCACGGCGACCCUGAGAGACCAGGGUCUCCUUCGGGCGUGCAUGUAGGUGCUGCAUGGUUGUCGUCAGCUCGUGCCGUGAGGUGUCGGCUCAAGUGCCAUAACGAGCGCAACCCCUUCGGCCGGUUACCAUCGGGUGAUGCCGGGGACUCCGGCCGCACUGCCGCCGCAAGGCGCGAGGAAGGCGGGGAUGACGUCAAAUCAGCACGGCCCUUACGUCCGGGGCCACACACGUGUUACAAUGGGGGGCACAGCGAGCGGGGCCAUGGCGACAUGUCCCGAAUCAUGAAAUCCCCUCCCAGUUCGGACUGGAGUCUGCAACCCGACUCCACGAAGCCGGAUUCGCUAGUAAUCGCGCAUCAGCCAUGGCGCGGUGAAUACGUUCCCGGGCCUUGCACUCACCGCCCGUCAAG
Molecule: ribosomal RNA, 1163 nt
Filed under: uncultured bacterium
Lineage: Bacteria
Description: bacterial SSU rRNA
Rfam family: Bacterial small subunit ribosomal RNA
Source: RNAcentral